This is an RNA transcript of Prunus mume (Japanese apricot), 1815 nucleotides long. It is a transcript of the gene named transcription initiation factor TFIID subunit 9-like, with no coding region annotated. The record is from RefSeq and is a predicted model, not a curated record. Lineage: Eukaryota; Viridiplantae; Streptophyta; Magnoliopsida; Rosales; Rosaceae.
GAGAGUUGGGUAUUGCUUUGAGGUUUACAAAGCUUAUGAAAAGAAAACUCUGGCAAAUUUUAGGGACUUUGAAAAAUAUAUCUCUAAGCCCUCUAAACAAAGGCAGAUAUGGAAGUAGCAAUUCAAAUAUUUUCAAGGUUGACAUAGUCGUAUCAAUUGCCAUACAAUAUUUGAGCAAGUAGAUGAGUUAUCGUCUGGUAGUUAUCUUUGGAAAGUGACUCACCUCCUUUGCUUCCUGCGCAAUUUGAAGGUUCAUUACGUCAGUGAUAUAGAAGUUUUCAACGUUGAUAGAUGUAUGCGUAAACCUCUAUGCCCGGGGUUUUUGAGUUAUCUGCAUGAACACCAAAUUCAGAAUAGUGAUAGAAUAUGAUAGAUAUUGAGAGAGUUAAAUCUAAUUUCAUGGGAACAUUUGUUUUAAACAUUCGUAGGUGUGAUGGUGUAGCCGAUUCAAUUUUGGGGAGUGUGAGACGGAGGAUGUGGCUACAUAGACCCCCAUCUUCCUUGGUCUUUGUUCUGCAUGCGGAUGGGCUUCCCUCCCCUCCUAGUUCCUAGUUAGAGGUUGGUGACAUCUUAGUGGAUGGCCUUGUAACUAAGUUUUUCUUUGUUAGUUCUAUUUCUCUUUGCCUUGUUGUUAUCCGGUUGAGUGGAGGUGUUGUUCCCUCAUUCCUGGAGACUUUAUGUUUGUUUCUCUUUAUUUCAAGCAUCUCUUUGACCAAAAAACAAAACAUAUUUUGCAAUUUAUAUAUCAAACAAUUCAUGGGUUCAUAUACAAACUCUCUCUCCAUUUCCUCUUUCUUCUCCCGCGCACCCAUGCAAAGCCCUAGUUUCAGUUUUAUUCACUUAUCACUGCUGUGUGUCUCAAGCAAAUCCCAAGUCACAGAAGCCUCGAUAUCUCUAAUUGGACGGCCGUACAUCAGGCUAUUCUUGCUACAGUUUCUAUUGUCCUUGGAGUAACAGAGCUGUGUAGCUUGCUGAUUGUCCAGAUUGUUGAAAGAAAAAGAAAUGUAGUAGUUUAGAGGUUUAGCCCAUCCCAGCUGCUCUGGCCCUGCCUCCCUGCCUAGCAGAAGUACCCAGAACCAGAAAAUGGCAGGGGAAGAUGAGGACUUGCCCAGAGAUGCAAAGAUAGUGAAAACACUGUUAAAAUCAAUGGGUGUGGAGGAAUAUGAGCCUUGUGUUGUUCACCAAUUCUUGGAGCUGUGGUAUUGAUACGUGGUUGAUGUGCUAACUGAUGCACAGGUCUGCUCAGAACAUGCUGGUAAGCCCGCAAUUGAUUGUGACGAUGUCAAGCUUACUAUUCAGUCCAAGGUUAAUUUCAGCUUCUCACAGCCCCCACCAAGAGAGGUGCUACUGGAAUUGGCUAGAAAUAGGAACAAAAUCCCAUUACCAAAAUCAAUUGCAGGGCCUGGUGUGGCAUUGCUGCCUGAACAGGACACAUUGAUCAGCCCAAACUAUCAACUGGCAAUCCCAAAGAAACAAUCUGCUCAAGCAGUGGAAGAAAUGGAGGAAGAUGAGGAACCUGCUUAACCCAAUCCGCCCCAGGAACAGAAGCCUAUCCUUUCCCCUUGCUAAAGGCACCAAGUGAGAGACUACAUGGUACAUCAAUCAGCCAAUGGGAUUAUAGUCCAGAGAUGUGAGAUGAAACAGUUGUUCACUUACUAAAGAUUCUGACUCGUAUUGGAUCUGUGUACUUGUAAAAGAAUGUUCUGUUUAAAUAUUAUGUUGUUUACUUCUUCUGUCUUGUUCUUUCACAAUUAUUUGAAUGCUUACGCCAUAUGUUAUUGAUAGUAUUUUGAAUGAUUAAUUGAUUAUGUGAAG